This 496-nucleotide ribosomal RNA is filed under the name uncultured bacterium. RNAcentral's name for it is "partial 16S ribosomal RNA". It matches the Rfam family "Bacterial small subunit ribosomal RNA", at positions 28 to 506 of the family's 1533-position model. The record is from RNAcentral.
GAUGAACGCUGGCGGCGUGCCUAAUACAUGCAAGUCGAGCGAACAGACGAGGAGCUUGCUCCUCUGACGUUAGCGGCGGACGGGUGAGUAACACGUGGAUAACCUACCUAUAAGACUGGGAUAACUUCGGGAAACCGGAGCUAAUACCGGAUAAUAUAUUGAACCGCAUGGUUCAAUAGUGAAAGACGGUUUUGCUGUCACUUAUAGAUGGAUCCGCGCCGCAUUAGCUAGUUGGUAAGGUAACGGCUUACCAAGGCAACGAUGCGUAGCCGACCUGAGAGGGGGACCGGCCCCACUGGAAAUGGGCAACGGGCCAGACCCCUACGGGGGGCAGCAGAAGGAAAUUUUCCGAAAGGGGCGAAAGCUUGAGGGGAGAACCCCGGGGGGUGAAAGAAGGUUUGCGGAUCGUAAAACUUUUUUAUUAGGGAAAAAAAAAUGUGUAAGUAAUAUUCCCCGUUUGAACGGGACUUAAUCAAAAAGCCGCGGCGAACUGCGU